AUGAAGCUUGCCCAAACGUCGAUUGCACCUCCGCCACCAGUGGUUGAAGCUCCCGUAGUAGCCAGUUGUAGCUCGCCCGUCGGCGCGGCGCUGUCAGAUGCAGCUCAACCCAUCGUCGGUUGUAGCUCCUCCGUCCACCGGUUGCAGCUUCCGGCAUGCCCGGUUGCAGCUCCCAGCGUGGCCGGUUGCAGCUCCACCGUCCGCCGUCCAUGGUCCAUCCCUGGGACGAGAGGGGGCGUCAGUGAGCUAGAAGGACGCUGGCAUAGCUAUGGGGAAAAAGGGGGAAAGCUCGCCGGAGAGGGAGAAAUAGCAGUAGAGGGAACUCUCUGCUGGUGGCGGGGCUCGCCGGAAUUAGGAUCCGACGGCGCGAGGCAGAGUUGA
Molecule: ribosomal RNA, 381 nt
Filed under: Triticum aestivum (bread wheat)
Lineage: Eukaryota; Viridiplantae; Streptophyta; Magnoliopsida; Poales; Poaceae
Description: partial small subunit ribosomal RNA
Source: RNAcentral